CAGAGCUGACUGAGCAGGAUCCGGAGUACCACGAGACACGAGGAACCUUGUGGGAAGUAAGGGGGACCACCCCCUAAGGCUAAAUACUACUUAGUGACCGAUAGCGCAUAGUACUGUGAAGGAAAGGUGAAAAGGACCCCGGGAGGGGAGUGAAAGAGAACCUGAAACCCUGUGUCUACAAGCUGUGGGAGUGCCAUAUGAGCACGACCGCGUACUUUUUGUAGAACGGUCCGGCGAGUUACGCUUACUGGCAAGGUUAAGCACUUCAGGUGUGGAGCCGUAGGGAAACCAAGUCUUAAGAGGGCCAGAGUCAGUAGGAGUAGACCCGAAACCGGGUGAUCUAUCCAUGUCCAGGUUGAAGCUGCCGUAAGAGGUAGUGGAGGACCGAACCCACAUCCGUUGAAAAGGGUGGGGAUGAGGUGUGGAUAGGGGAGAAAUUCCAAUCGAACCCGGAGAUAGCUGGUUCUCCUCGAAAUAGCUUUAGGGCUAGCCUCGGUGUGAGUCUUGCGGAGGUAGAGCACUGAAUUUCCUAGGGGGCGUCAAAGCCUACCGAAGAAUAUCAAACUCCGAAUGCCGUGUAGAUAUCACCGGGAGUCAGACUGCACGAGAUAAGUUGGGCGGUCAAAAGGGAAAGAGCCCAGACCUACAGUUAAGGUCCCAAAGUGCGCGUUAAGUGGAAAAGGAUGUGGGAUUUCGAAGACAACCAGGAUGUUGGCUCAGAAGCAGCCAUACAUUCAAAGAGUGCGUAAUAGCUCACUGGUCGAGAGGUCCUGCGCCGAAAAUGUCCGGGGCUGAAACGCGCCACCGAAACUAAGGAAUCUGAAAAGAUUGGUAGAGGAGCAUUGCAUGCGGGAAGAAGCAGUACCGGAAGGAGCUGUGGACUGCAUGGAAGAGAGAAUGCCGGAAUGAGUAGCGAGAUAGAGGUGGGAAUCCUCUAGGCCGAAUAUCCAAGGUUUCCAGGGUAAAGCUGAUCUGCCCUGGGUGAGUCGGGACCUAAGGUGAGGGCGAGAGCCGUAGCCGAUGGACAACAGGUUGAUAUUCCUGUACUGCAGUAUGACAGAACUGUGGGGACACGUAAGGAGAGCGGGAGCCGGGAAUGGAAAGCCCGGUACAAGCGAGGUACCAGUAUGGUAGGAAAAUCCGCCAUGCAAUGGGAAGACGUGAUGUGGAGUGAAUUUUAGUAACGAAGCCCGUGAGCCAUGCGUCAAGAAAAGCCGCUAUCGUUCAUAUUGUACCCGUACCGUAAACCGACACAGGUGGAUGAGGAGAGAAUCCUAAGGCCGGCGGAAGAAGUAUUGCCAAGGAACUCGGCAAAAUGGCCCCGUAACUUAGGGAGAAGGGGUGCCUGCGAGAGCAGGCCGCAGAGAAUAGGCUCAAGCAACUGUUUAGCAAAAACACAGGUCUAUGCGAAACCGAAAGGUGAGGUAUAUGGGCUGACGCCUGCCCGGUGCUGGAAGGUUAAGAGGAGAGGUUAGCGGUAACGCGAAGCUUUGAAUUUAAGCCCCAGUAAACGGCGGCCGUAACUAUAACGGUCCUAAGGUAGCGAAAUUCCUUGUCGGGUAAGUUCCGACCCGCACGAAAGGCGUAAUGAUUUGAGCGCUGUCUCGGCAAUACAUCCGGUGAAAUUGAAGUGCCAGUGAAGAUGCUGGCUACCCGCGCCAGGACGGAAAGACCCCAUGGAGCUUUACUCCAGUUUGGCACUGGGGUCCGGUGUUGCAUGUACAGGAUAGGUGGGAGGCUGAGAAACGGUA
Molecule: ribosomal RNA, 1751 nt
Filed under: Blautia luti
Lineage: Bacteria; Bacillati; Bacillota; Clostridia; Lachnospirales; Lachnospiraceae
Description: Bacterial large subunit ribosomal RNA
Rfam family: Bacterial large subunit ribosomal RNA
Source: Rfam by way of RNAcentral